CAGCAGCCGCGGGAAUACGUAGGUGGCGAGCGUUGUCCGGAAUUAUCGGGCGUAAAGGGAGCGCAGGCGGACAUAUAAGUCCAUCUUAAAAGUGCGGGGCUCAACCCCGUGAGGGGAUGGAAACUGUAUGCCUUGAGUGCAGGAGAGGAAAGCGGAAUUCCCAGUGUAGCGGUGAAAUGCGUAGAUAUUGGGAGGAACACCAGUGGCGAAGGCGGCUUUCUGGACUGCAACUGACGCUGAGGCUCGAAAGCCAGGGGAGCGAACGGGAUUAGAGACCCCAGUAGUCCCUGUCUCUUAUACA
Molecule: ribosomal RNA, 301 nt
Filed under: uncultured bacterium
Lineage: Bacteria
Description: partial 16S ribosomal RNA
Rfam family: Bacterial small subunit ribosomal RNA
Source: RNAcentral